Oryctolagus cuniculus (rabbit) is the source of this 740-nucleotide non-coding RNA. The record is from RefSeq and is a predicted model, not a curated record. Lineage: Eukaryota; Metazoa; Chordata; Mammalia; Lagomorpha; Leporidae.
AUACUGCUUCUCCUGCUGAAAUGAACGAAAGCUGGUAGCCUCUUCUUUGAGAUCCAGCAGAGCGGUUGUCUUUACGGCUCUUGGCAAUACCUCUGGGGCCCAGAGCCUGCUGCCUCUAGACUCCCCAUGUCCAUCGCUGACCACUGGCCAUCUCAGUCGCACGUCUCCCUUGGCCUCUCCCUCACAUGUAAGAUGCUCAUGACCUUGGCCUUGCCGUUCGGGAUCUCGUGAGGACCCACAACUUGGUAGAAGUUCUGGGGGAGCAGGUGCUCUAGAUGGAUCCUGUCAAUGAUGGCUGCCUGGCAUGGUGCAGACAGGCCCUUCAGAUGAUGGACAGGACAUUGAACUUGGAGGCUGACACAGGAGGAGCCUGCUCCUGUAUCUCGCAGCCUCAAGAAGGGAGAGAGCCUGUGUGAACGCAUAUUCCUUCACUGCAAGUACAGGUAGUUUCCACCGCAGGGUGCACCAGCAUCCUCUGCAAACUUUGAGAACACAGAUGCUCAGCGGCCACCAAGCCCAAGGAGGCAGAGCUCUGGACUGUGCCCAAAGGCUGCCGCUAACAAGCACUGUGGUGACUCCGGCCUCCACAGCCAGCCAGCCCACACCGCAUGGCCUUUGUAACUCACCCAGCGAAUGAUGCUCUAGCAGCUCAAUGUAAAGCUGCCUCGAGUGAGAUCUCUCUGGAGGGAGGAGCCGUUUCAGCAAGAGAAAAUGCAGCACCAGGAGCCUGCAGGCCCCAC